Molecule: non-coding RNA, 1208 nt
Organism: Physcomitrium patens
Lineage: Eukaryota; Viridiplantae; Streptophyta; Bryopsida; Funariales; Funariaceae
Source: RefSeq, a predicted model, not a curated record
GCAGUGGUGGAAGGGAGUGAACUCUUCGCACACUGGACCCGCUUAGAAUCUCACGAAAGGUUGUGACUGAGAACUUGUGAGGCUUCCGUUCAGAAUUUGAGUCUCGUCACAAGGCAUGGGACAUAUUGUACCCAACAGUCGCAAGGCUCAUUCUCAGGUGGACCAAGCAUUCUACACAAGCAAAACCUUGAAAGGCAGAGCUAGUUCUGAUAAUGCUAAUUACUGUAUUCUGCCUAAUAAAACAAGAAGUGGUAUUUCGUUGCUUGCUUCAGGCGAAGAAUAGAUUGAAGUGUAAGCACAUCUAGAAACGUCAGAAUUCCACUGGGAAGAAGACCUGUGAGGUUACCCCGCGCACAGAAGCGUAUUGAGCGAUCCCCGUUUUCGACAUUUGUGCACUCAAUAAGCUCAUUGUUGUCAUCGUUUAAGGACUGGAUAUAUCAAGGGUGGACCUCGUGGAGAAUCUGUCUUUUAUGGUUGAAGAAAGACUGUUUCCGGAGCUUCGAUUUUUCAUCUGGCUUCAGGCGUGGUGACUACCCCAAUGCAGGAAAACAUCCUCUCAUGUGCUCUCAUUAAGCCUUUUUUCUGCUUGCGAAAUGCUCAAAUGCUUUCAGGACACAAAUGCAACGAGCGAGAUGAAGAGAGAUGUAUUUCCGUAAUAUGAUUUCUUCCAAGGCAGGACAGAGGACUAAUUUAUUGAGUUAAAUAUUUUGAAGCUUUGUAAAUAAAUAAAUAAAAAUCAACAUUUCAAAUUUAACCGAUAAUCCUCUAUGUAUAUUUCAUGUUUUUGCAUAUUUUAAUAAAUAUUAGAUCACUAUUGCAAUGUGUAUUGAUAUUAACUAAAGAAUAUUUUUUGUGCGAGCAGAGGUAAAUUUGGUGGUCGUCUUGAUUUCAUUCAACACCUUAAAAAUUACUGCCGUUGAGGUGCGACGGUUUCUCUCAACGCUAUUACUAGCAAUGUCUACAAAAAAAUGGCAGCAAAAGUGAAUGGUUUUGAUCUGUCCUGAAUGCACGUCAAACCCAAAAGACCAGGUAAGGACUUCUAAAUAUUGGUAGUUCUCAAAAUAGACCGAGAGUCUGUAAACGUUUCUAAGUAGAAAUCAGAACAUAAUGCAGUUUCUCUUUGGAGGAACGGUUCAAGAAGAAAAUCCCAUGGUUCCGAACACUUUGACUGAUCAAACAAGGGAAAGAAUCUCUAAUCCUUGAACCAA